Molecule: long non-coding RNA, 2822 nt
Organism: Prinia subflava (tawny-flanked prinia)
Lineage: Eukaryota; Metazoa; Chordata; Aves; Passeriformes; Cisticolidae
Exons: 2
Source: RefSeq, a predicted model, not a curated record
CCCAGCAGACACCCCAGGAAGGAGAAGGCUGGCCAAAUUAACUCUGCCCAAGGGUUGCAAGCCAGGCAGUGAAGUCCCUUUGGAGCAGCCCAAAUAAUCCCUCUGUGCAAACAGGAAGGCAGCGAGCAAGGAAAGCAAGAGUGAUGUUACCCUACCUGAGUAUUAUUGUCUUCCAGCAAGCUUCCAGGGGUGAGAGGCUUUUAUUUUCUCUUUUUCCUCCCCCUCUCCCAUAAAUGCAGAGCUUGGCACAAGCACACAGUCCAUGCCAUCCCUGCUCACACCAGGGAAGGGGCAAGUGCUGGAGGCUGUGGGCCAAGCCGUGUGAAGGGGAGGAACAGGAGGAGGGGGAGGAAGCCCAGUGAACAGGGAGAAGAGGAGAGGAAACAGGAGAGGAAAUAGUCCAGGGAGAGUGGCCUGAGGUGGGGAAGGCAGGGCCAAAAGAGUGGAAGGAGAUCCUUGCAGAAAUGGGCUAUGUGAGAGCUCUUCCUUCUGUGCCUUCCCCUGGCAGAUGCUCUAGAUCUGGAGAUGUUUGGGGAGGAAUCGGCUGAUUUUUGGGGACGUGGUGGCUGAAAAAGGGAGAGGGACAGAGGACUGAAAGGAACCCUCCCUGCUGCUGACCCCAGGGCCCCUGGCACACCUGGAGUGCCGGAGGAUGAGAUGUGAGGUGAGUAGGUGUGCCCAGCCCCCUGCCACACGCAGAGCCCCUGUGGCUGCUGCACAGAGGCCUCACGGCUCCUUCCCCCUCCCUGGCCACCUUGUUCUUCAGAGAAGGAAGGGUGGGAGGGAAAACCCAUGAUCUUGCUGGCCUGCUGCCAGUUGCUAAGGCAGUUUCUUCAAAAGGGAGGGGAGCUGUGGAAGGAGGGAGCUGCCUGCAGAGGAGGCAGAUGAUGUAUGCAGGGACCAGGCAGAGAGAGGAGCCUGCAGCCACCAGCGGUGGAGACAAAUGGGACCCGGGGCUGAGGGGCAGCAGGGAGCCCAGAGGAGAGGGGUGAGGUGGAAAGGGACAGGGGGGCCUGCAGAAGCAGCUCAGCCAUGGAGCCAACAUCCCAGCAGAGCAUCUCAGCUGAUGGGCUCGCUGUGGUUCACAGCAGCUCUAGGAAGCUCUGCCUGUGGCAGGAGGGGGUUUCAUUCUCCCAUGGUUUUUCCCUGCUGUGUUUCCUCUGGGAGGAGCUUGCUGUGGCUCUUGGUGGCUGUGGAGUCGCUGCCCUGACUGGGGACACCCGGCAUCUGCAGAGCCAAACACAGACCUGGGCCAAAGCUGCUGGACACAAGCCCCUGCCCGGUGCCUGGAAACGCCGCUCCUGGGCCACGCUGACACCACCGAGGGAGGAGCAGAGGGACUGUCCCUCAGUCCCCAGGGCACCCCAGGGCCCUGGCACCUCGAGGAGCAAGGUAAGUGCCUCACUCCUCCGGUGAGGAGCAGCUCCCACCAGGGGGGCCCAUCCUAAAAGCCCAGAGCAAUGGUUUGCCCUCGCUGAGGUGGAAAGUUGGAGGGUGGAGUGGGUGGGGAGCUGCUCACGUCAAGAGGGGGAAGAAGGGCUCUGUGCAGAGCCUGGGUGUUCUGCUCUGGAGGCAGCUCUCGCUGACAAGUCACAAGGGAGGAAAUCAGCUCUUGAAACGUAGGCGGCAACAAAACCGUGGCAGCUUCGGGAGUGCAAGGGCGGCAUCUCCGCCGGCCCUGCCUGGGAGCGCCUGGCCGUGUCCGUGCGGGAGCGGAUCCCGCGGGGGCCGAGUGGGAGCCGCGCCCCCGGGAAGGCUUCACCCCUGCGAGCGCAGCGCUCGCUGAGCAGGCAGAAAUUCAAUCCUGGGCCCGGCUUCACUUCUCCCACUUCUCCUUUCUUUGCGCUUGUCGCGCCCCGCGUCCUCGCAGCCAUUUGUCCCCGGCGGCAGCUGGUGCGAGCCCGGGGCGCCGCGCCGUAACGCGAGCCGCAGCCGGGAUGCUGCGGGCGGCGCGCCGGGACGGGAGCGCUGCUUUCCCCGCUGGCUCCCGGCGCUCUGGAAAGCCAAAAUGGAGCAGUUCGUGCUCCCGUGGGUGUGGGAGACCGGGCGAGGCGUGCGCAGGGGGUGACUCAUGAGCGAACACCGCAGCCGGGGCCAGCCCAGGGCGCUGCGCAGGCCACAAAGGGCCGGAGCCAAAGGCAGGGGCGAGAUCCCGCUCCUGGCUGGCCCUGAAAGCGAACACCGGGCACCUGGAGGAGCAGCAGGGCACUGAUAAACGAAGCGGGGGAUUGAGGUAUCAGAUGUUUCCUGCUGGGAUUUAAUGGCCUGGAGCACAGUGCGCGCCGGGCAGUAGAAGCGGGCAGGUCCAGCAGAGCCGAGCAUCCCUCGGCACACGGGCAGGGCCACCGCGGGCACCUCGCUGUGCUGGAGAGGACAAAAGGCUCACAGCAGGAACGGGCCUGGCACAACGCGAUGUUUCCCUUGUUCCGUCAGGUGCAGCGGGGUCAGACCGCGCUGUCCCUCCCCUGUCCCUUGGCACCGCCCGCCCCUCCUCCUGCAGCCCUCACGGGGUCUUGCCUUCCCCUGACUGCCCUCUUUGGUGGAGAGAAAGAACAAAGCCAGGGUUUAUUUUAAUUGUUUAUUGUAUAAUAUAAAACUACAAAAGUAAGACUGCUCAUUUCCAUGUACAUUUGUCCAAUUGUAUUUUUGAUUACAGCCCAUACCUACAUGUGAAUACAGUAAUCUGGUUUCAGAUGUCUGUAAUAUUGCAUAGAAAAGGCACAGCUCUAAGGUCUGUGGGAGGGGAAGGGGAAAUACAGCCUUUUUUAUUUAUUUUUUUCCCAUUUUUUCCUUUUUUUUUUUCUCUUUUUUUAAAAUUUUUU